This 78-nucleotide transfer RNA is filed under the name Mycoplasmataceae bacterium. RNAcentral describes it as "tRNA-Glu". The record is from RNAcentral. Lineage: Bacteria; Bacillati; Mycoplasmatota; Mollicutes; Mycoplasmatales; Mycoplasmataceae.
GGCCUGUUGGUGAAGCGACUUAACACAUGCGCCUUUCACGUGCACACUCCAUGGGUUUGAAUCCCAUACAGGUCACCA